RNAcentral lists this ribosomal RNA (480 nucleotides) under uncultured bacterium. Its description in RNAcentral is "partial 16S ribosomal RNA". It matches the Rfam family "Bacterial small subunit ribosomal RNA", at positions 28 to 523 of the family's 1533-position model. The record is from RNAcentral.
GACGAACGCUGGCGGCGUGCUUUAUACAUGCAAGUCGAACGAUGAAGUUCCUUCGGGAAUGGAUUAGUGGCGAACGGGUGAGGAACACGUGAGAAACCUGCCUUUCACUCUGGGAUAACACCGGGAAACCGGUGCUAAUACCGGAUACUCCGUCUUGGCGGCAUCGCCGAGCCGGGAAAAAAUUUUGAUGAAAGAUGGUCUCGCGGCCUAUCAGCUAGUUGGUGAGGUAAAGGCUCACCAAGGCGACGACGGGUAGCCGGCCUGAGAGGGCGACCGGCCACACUGGGACUGAGACACGGCCCAGACUCCUACGGGAGGCAGCAGUAGGGAAUAUUGGGCAAUGGGCGCAAGCCUGACCCAGCGACGCCGCGUGAGGGAUGACGGCCUUCGGGUUGUAAACCUCUUUCAGUAGGGACGAAGCGCAAGUGACGGUACCUACAGAAGAAGGACCGGCCAACUACGUGCCAGCCGCCGCAGUAA